Molecule: ribosomal RNA, 117 nt
Filed under: Desulfobacterales bacterium
Lineage: Bacteria; Pseudomonadati; Thermodesulfobacteriota; Desulfobacteria; Desulfobacterales
Source: RNAcentral
GCCGGUGGUUACUGCGGAGGGGCCCUACCCGAUCCCAUCCCGAACUCGGUCGUCAAGCCCUCCUGCGCCGAUGGUACUGCAGGGUUACCCUUGUGGGAGAGUAGGUCGCUGCCGGCA